UAAGACGAACCGGUCGAACGUUAUUCGGAAUCACUGGGCUUAAAGGGUGCGUAGGCGGCUUGGAAAGUUGGGUGUGAAAUCCUGGGGCUCAACUCCAGAAUUGCGCUCAAAACUUCCAAGCUAGAGGAAAGUAGGGGUGAGCGGAACUGAUGGUGGAGCGGUGAAAUGCGUUGAUAUCAUCAGGAACACCUGUGGCGAAAGCGGCUCACUGGACUUUUUCUGACGCUGAGGCACGAAAGCUAGGGUAGCGAACAGGAUUAGAUACCCUGGUAGUCCUAGCUGUAAACGAUGAGCACUUGAUGGGAGAGGUCCUCAUGCCUUUCCGGCCGAAGCGAAAGUGUUAAGUGCUCCGCCUGGGGAGUAUGGUCGCAAGGCUG
RNAcentral lists this ribosomal RNA (377 nucleotides) under uncultured Planctomycetota bacterium. RNAcentral's name for it is "bacterial SSU rRNA". It matches the Rfam family "Bacterial small subunit ribosomal RNA", at positions 521 to 896 of the family's 1533-position model. Lineage: Bacteria; Pseudomonadati; Planctomycetota. The record is from RNAcentral.